GUCUACGGCCACACCACCCUGAAUGUGCCUGCUCUCCUCUGAUCUCGGAAGCUAAGCAGGGUCAGGCCUGGGUAGUACUUGGAUGGGAGGAAGAAGGAAAUAAAUA
RNAcentral lists this ribosomal RNA (106 nucleotides) under Microcebus murinus (gray mouse lemur). Lineage: Eukaryota; Metazoa; Chordata; Mammalia; Primates; Cheirogaleidae. The record is from RNAcentral.